This is an RNA transcript of Ipomoea triloba (trilobed morning glory), 2844 nucleotides long. It is a transcript of the gene named heterogeneous nuclear ribonucleoprotein 1-like, with no coding region annotated. The record is from RefSeq and is a predicted model, not a curated record. The transcript has 6 exons. Lineage: Eukaryota; Viridiplantae; Streptophyta; Magnoliopsida; Solanales; Convolvulaceae.
AUUUAUUUAAAAAGGAGCCGAAUAGCCAAGACAAUGAAGAGAAGAGAGGAACCUUUGGGAAGAGAAAGGACGAACACAUCCUCUGUUUUUGUCUUGUACAUAUAAAAAAUAAAAGAAUAGUAUACAUAUAUUUUUAUAUUUAACAUGUAUCUGCAUAUGCCUUCUGUUUAGAUCUCCGUUUCAUCCAAUUCACCGUCUGGGUUUUCUUCAAAAUGUUUCUGUUUUUGGGCCCUGAUCUAUGUGAAUUAUGCAUUUCAUAGUCACUGGAUUGAGGUCUUGAUUGAUGCAAACAAGGAUGAGAUGUUCCUCGAUUGAAUCCGACGUUUGUUAGUUGGUUUCUGAUCACUAUCUGCAACUGAGGUCUGCCUGAUUUUCUGGAUAAGAAAUGAUGGAAUCGGAUCUCGGUAAGCUAUUCAUUGGUGGAAUAUCUUGGGACACAGAUGAGGAUCGUCUUAAAGAGUAUUUUAGAUCGUAUGGAGAAGUGGUGGAGGCUGUGAUCAUGAGAGAUCGCAACACUGGUCGUGCCCGAGGUUUCGGUUUUGUGGUCUUUGCUGAUCCUGCAGUUGCUGAACGAGUGGUGAAGGAGAAGCAUAUGAUAGAUGGAAGAACUGUUGAGGCAAAGAAGGCUGUACCUAGGGAUGACCAAAACAUAAUAAAUAGAAGCAAUAGCAGCAUUCAAGGAUCUCCGGGUCCUGGACGCACAAAAAAGAUUUUUGUAGGAGGGUUAGCAUCCACAGUUACUGAAAGUGACUUUAAGAAGUACUUUGAUCAGUUUGGCACAAUCACGGAUGUGGUUGUGAUGUAUGACCACAACACUCAACGGCCAAGAGGAUUCGGGUUCAUAACUUAUGAUUCGGAGGAUGCAGUGGAUAGGGCAUUGUAUAAAACCUUCCAUGAACUCAAUGGUAAAAUGGUUGAGGUGAAGCGUGCAGUUCCGAAAGAGCUUUCUCCCGGCCCUAGCCGUAGCCCUCUGAUUGGAUACAACUAUGGUCUCAGUAGACCCAACAACUUUCUCAACAACUAUGCGCAGGGAUAUAAUCUGGGUUCCGUUGGAGGCUAUGGGGUCAGGAUGGACAAUAGGUUUAGCCCUGUUGCCAGUGGUCGUACGGGGUUCUCUCAAUUUGCUAAUCCUGCUUAUGGAAUGAGUAUGAAUUUGGACCCGGCAUUGAAUCCGAGCUUUGCAGUGGGUUCCAACUUUAGUAGUAAUGUCGGUUAUGGGCGGGUUCUGAGCCCAUAUUUGAGUAGCAAUUCAAGCAGAUACAAUACUCCCAUUGGGUAUAGCCCAAGCAGUAACCGUGGUGAUUCCUUUUUAAGCUCUCCAACAAGGAACCUAAGGGGAAACGGAGGCCUUAACACUUCAAUGACUCUUGGUGGCUCCGGUUCAUUCUUGGCUUCUGGUGGUUUCGGAGUGUUUGGAAACAAUGGGGCAAAUUGGGGGUCUUCUGUUCCCGCUCAAGUUGGCGGGAAUUCAUCUGGCUAUGCUGGCGGGAAUUUCGGAUUCAGGAGUGGGGAUAACAGUUACGGGCUGGGAUCUGGAGGGAUUGGAAGAAAUAAUGCAGCAGCUAUAGCUACAACAUCUUCAUUUACUACACCUAUUGGUGCAUACGAGGGGUCUUAUGGGGAUUUAUAUCGCAGCGCUUCUAUGUAUGGAGAUCCAACUUGGCAAGCUGCUUCUUCUGAUCCCGAUGGUUCUGGUUCUUUCGGAUAUGGACUUGGAAAUCCGGGAGCUGCUACUGCCAAAGAUUCUGAAGGUUAUAUUGGAGGUUAUAAUAUUGCAAAUAGACAAUCAAAUAGAGGAAUUGCAGCAUAGGAGUUCUCAUUAUUUGGAUAUAUGGAAGAUAAUAUUAGGAGAAGAGACGUCAGUGAAGUGGACCUUGAAAGUUUUAUCGUAUCCCUCAUAAUACAUAUUUCAGAUAAUAAGGAAAACUGAUGAUAUAGAGCUAACGUCGUGGGUCUUGUCUGAAAGGGCGCGAGUAUAGGUGUUCCAAAAGAGAGCAGUUUUUAAGGGAUUUUGUCAAGGCUUAAGAUUGCAGGAGAUACACUCACAAUAUGCUUGUUCUUAUAUCCGCCACAAAACCAAGUACCCCCCGCUGGUACGACCAAGAGAGGCAGAGCAUAUUUUGAUCGAUACAUUCUUUUCUUCUUUUCGUUUUUUUUUUUUUUUGAUUGCUAUUUAUAAGUGAUUUAGGCUCCAUUCUCAGCAUUUGAUCGAGAUGUAAAUCAGAUUGCAGGAGAUACACUCACAAUAUGCUUGUUCUUAUAUCCGCCACAAAACCAAGUACCCCCCGCUGGUACGACCAAGAGAGGCAGAGCAUAUUUUGAUCGAUACAUUCUUUUCUUCUUUUCGUUUUUUUUUUUUUUUGAUUGCUAUUUAUAAGUGAUUUAGGCUCCAUUCUCAGCAUUUGAUCGAGAUGUAAAUCAGAUUGCAGGAGAUACACUCACAAUAUGCUUGUUCUUAUAUCCGCCACAAAACCAAGUACCACCCGCUGGUACGACCAAGAGAGGUAGAGCAUAUUUUGAUCGAUACAUUCUUUUCUUCUUUUCGUUUUUUUUUUUUUUUUUUUAGUUUCUUGUGCGCUGUAGUGACCGACUGGCAAAGUAUGCCGGUGUUUCGCCUUUAAAGUUUCCCCUUUUUAUUUUUUUUCUCUGAGAUUAUGUGUCGCUCUCAGAUUGUUUGUGAGAUGUUGCUGCUUGAUAAUGGUGUGGAACAAUAGAGGGAUACCACAUAGGAUCCCCCCAUCAAUAAAGUACUCAAUAUUUCUAUUCAUAUUAUAGAUUGUGUAAACAGUAUAAGCUUUUAAUUUAUUUUUUUUGGGUAUGAAAUGAAGAGAGAAGCUUUCUGUC